Molecule: ribosomal RNA, 757 nt
Filed under: uncultured archaeon
Lineage: Archaea
Description: bacterial SSU rRNA
Rfam family: Archaeal small subunit ribosomal RNA
Source: RNAcentral
GGAUAACCUACCCUUAGGACCGGGAUAACCCUGGGAAACUGGGGCUAAUACUGGAUAGGCAAUUAUUCCUGCAAUGGUUUUUUGUUUAAAUGUUUUUUCGCCUAAGGAUGGGUCUGCGGCCGAUUAGGUAGUUGGUUAGGUAAUGGCUUACCAAGCCGUUGAUCGGUACGGGUUGUGAGAGCAAGAGCCCGGAGAUGGAACCUGAGACAAGGUUCCAGGCCCUACGGGGUGCAGCAGGCGCGAAACCUCCGCAAUGUGAGAAAUCGCGACGGGGGGAUCCCAAGUGCCAUUCUUAACGGGAUGGCUUUUCAUUAGUGUAAAGAGCUUUUGGAAUAAGAGCUGGGCAAGACCGGUGCCAGCCGCCGCGGUAACACCGGCAGCUCUAGUGGUAACAAUUUUUAUUGGGCCUAAAGCGUCCGUAGCCGGUUUAAUAAGUCUCUGGUGAAAUCCUGUAGCUUAACCGUGGGAAUUGCUGGAGAUACUAUUAGACUUGAGACCGGGAGAGGUUAGAGGUACUCCCAGGGUAGAGGUGAAAUUCUGUAAUCCUGGGAGGACCGCCUGUUGCGAAGGCGCCUAACUGGAACGGUUCUGACGGUGAGGGACGAAAGUUAGGGGCGCGAACCGGAUUAGAUACCCGGGUAGUCCUAACUGUAAACGAUGCGGACUUGGUGUUGGGGUGGCUUUGAGCUGCUCCAGUGCCGAAGGGAAGCUGUUAAGUCCGCCGCCUGGGAAGUACGGUCGCAAGACUGAAACUUAA